This 117-nucleotide ribosomal RNA is filed under the name Enterococcus faecium. Its description in RNAcentral is "partial 16S ribosomal RNA". It matches the Rfam family "Bacterial small subunit ribosomal RNA", at positions 1417 to 1533 of the family's 1533-position model. The record is from RNAcentral. Lineage: Bacteria; Bacillati; Bacillota; Bacilli; Lactobacillales; Enterococcaceae. RNAcentral also lists the same sequence under 2 other names.
AUACCCGAAGUCCGUGAGCUAACCGCAAGGAGGCAGCGGCCGAAGGUAGGGUCAGCGAUUGGGGUGAAGUCGUAACAAGGUAGCCGUAGGAGAACCUGCGGCUGGAUCACCUCCUUU